AUUGAACGCUGGCGGCAGGCCUAACACAUGCAAGUCGAGCGGAUGAAGGGAGCUUGCUCCUGGAUUCAGCGGCGGACGGGUGAGUAAUGCCUAGGAAUCUGCCUGGUAGUGGGGGAUAACGUCCGGAAACGGGCGCUAAUACCGCAUACGUCCUGAGGGAGAAAGUGGGGGAUCUUCGGACCUCACGCUAUCAGAUGAGCCUAGGUCGGAUUAGCUAGUUGGUGGGGUAAAGGCCUACCAAGGCGACGAUCCGUAACUGGUCUGAGAGGAUGAUCAGUCAAACGGGAAAUGAGAAACGGUCCGGCCUCCUACGGGAGGCAGCAGUGGGGAAUUUUGGAAAAGGGGCGAAAACUUGACCCAGCCAUGCGGGGUGGGGGAAGAAGGUCUUCGGAUUGUAAAGCACUUUAAUGUGGGAGGAAGGGCAGUAAGUUAAAACCUUGCUGUUUUGACGUUACCAACAGAAUAAGCACCGGCUAAUUUCGU
RNAcentral lists this ribosomal RNA (483 nucleotides) under uncultured bacterium. RNAcentral describes it as "partial 16S ribosomal RNA". It matches the Rfam family "Bacterial small subunit ribosomal RNA", at positions 30 to 506 of the family's 1533-position model. The record is from RNAcentral.